CAGGUUAAUCUUUUUAGUAGAAAUUUUCGUUUACAUUGAAAUUUUGACCGUGCAAUUCGGUAUAACUUGA
Molecule: transfer RNA, 70 nt
Filed under: Anallacta methanoides
Lineage: Eukaryota; Metazoa; Arthropoda; Insecta; Blattodea; Blattellidae
Description: tRNA-Val
Source: RNAcentral